UACGGAGGGGGCUAGCGUUGUUCGGAAUUACUGGGCGUAAAACGCACGUAGGCGGCUUUGUAAGUUAGAGGUGAAAGCCCGGGGCUCAACUCCGGAAUUGCCUUUAAGACUGCAUCGCUAGAAUUGUGGAGAGGUAAGUGGAAUUCCGAGUGUAGAGGUGAAAUUCGUAGAUAUUCGGAAGAACACCAGUGGCGAAGGCGACUUACUGGACACAUAUUGACGCUGAGGUGCGAAAGCGUGGGGAGCAAACAGG
Molecule: ribosomal RNA, 253 nt
Filed under: uncultured bacterium
Lineage: Bacteria
Description: partial 16S ribosomal RNA
Rfam family: Bacterial small subunit ribosomal RNA
Source: RNAcentral